RNAcentral lists this long non-coding RNA (3526 nucleotides) under Homo sapiens (human). RNAcentral's name for it is "LNC_000671". The record is from RNAcentral. Lineage: Eukaryota; Metazoa; Chordata; Mammalia; Primates; Hominidae.
AUUUCCUUGACCUGGGAGUUAAGACUGCCACCCAGCCACCUUGUGCUCUCCAUGCUGCUGAUUCAACAGGCAAAUAAGGAAGUUAUGGUGUGGGCUACAGUGAUUGAUCUGACUAACAAGAGGGAAAUUGCUCCACCAUGGGGGUGAGGGAGAGUACAUCUGGAAUACAGAAGUUCCCUUAGGACACCCUUAGUGUUCCCACACAUUGCGAUUAAGGCCAGUGGAAAACUACAAUAACUCAGUUCAGGCGGAACAACUCAUGGGGCAGAAUCUUCAAGGAAUGAAGAUUUGAGUCCUUCUACCAGGUUUUGCAGAGUGCCUCCAGAAAUAAAAGUGUUACAAAAGAAUCACUUCAGAAAACCUACACUUAGAGAGUCCAUUUGAAAAUUGCCCUAUUUGAAAUGAAGUGGAGAUCAGUAAUAACAAGGACUUCCCCAUAUAACCCAAGGUCCUACUGGGUUAGUGUGAUCUUCUGCGGAAGGCUGCAGCUGCUGUCAGGAGGCCCUCUGUCUACACUCCUCUCUGGAGAAGUGUAAGUGUUUUGUCAGGUAAAUACUUCGUCACUCUCCAGCGUAGCAGUGAGAAUCAUCCCUCCUAUCUCUAGCAUCAGAGUCCCUCCUAUUGUUUCUAACCACCCACCCCCCGUAUCCUUGUAAAUAAUCUCUUUAUUAAAUUGUCUGCAAAUUACUUCAUUUUAAUGUGCUGUCCAUUUCCUUUUGGGACCCUGGCUGAUAUUGAUACUGAUGUUGGGUAAUUACUGAUUAUUGAUACUGAUAGUUGACACUGAUACCGAUAAUAAUUAUUAUUAAUAGCUAAUAUCCAUAAUUUGAUACUGAUUAUCAGAAAAGGAUACUGACACUCUAGGAUAUUAGCAGGAUCAGUAAAUACUGACACUGAUACUGAUAUUAAUACUGGCUGCUACUGCUAGGUAAUUACUAGGUCUGUCUAUCAAUCUAUCCAUCUAUCUAGGAUGUUCUCACUCUUGUAAAUAUCUCUAUAAAGCCUUGUCAAACAGAAAAAGGAGACAAUGUGAAAGGGUCUUGUGUACAUUUAGUCUCUAUUCAUCUAUUACAAGUUUCCUUUCUAAACCAAAUAGUUCUAUAUUGUUUUGGAGACUAUCUAACCCUCAUUAAUUAGCUGUUUUAUUUCUAUUUCUUUAUUGCUCAUAUAUAACAAUAGGAAAACUUGGUUAGUCAGUUAAUUAACAAAUAUUUAGUAAUGUAUAUUAUUAUAUGACUUGAGACAUGAUAAACAUGUUCUAAAAGUGUGGAACACAACAUUUGAUAAGAAAGGCAGAAUCUCCAUCUUCAAAGAGAUUGCAUUAUAGUGGAAAGAGCCAGACAAUAUAUAAAUAUAUAAACCAAGAAAUAAGAUCAUUAAGGUACUGAUAAGUGUUAUGAAGAAGAUGAAACGGGGUGAUUUUGACAGACAUUGACUGUAACAGGACCAGUUGUUUUAGAGAGCAUCAGAGCAGCUCUUCAUGAGGAGGAGCAUCAGAGAAGCUCUUCAUGAGGAGGAGCCUCAUGAAGGUGAAACCUAAAUGAUGAGAAGCCAGCUAUGUAAGAGGAGCAUUUGACACAGAAGGAACCAUAAGUACAAAUGUAAUGAGAUGAGAAAUUUCUUUGGUAUGUUGAAGACAUCAGGACAGGUGAGUAGCAUGCACCUGUGUCCCAGCUACACCAGAGGCUGAGGCAGGAGGAUUGUGUGAGCCCAGGAGCUUGAGGAUGCAGUGAGUUAUGACCAUAGCACUGCACUCCAUCCUUUUGUGAUGUCUUUUUUUUUUUAAGAAACGUCACUGUGUUCCGGGUGACAGAGCAAGAUGACAUUUCUGAAAAAAAAAUGGGGGGACAUCACAAAAGACCAUGGAUAAAACUAAGUAAACCAGAGAAACAAGAAGGAAGAGAGAGAGAUGAAUUGGGUGCAUUGGCAAAGCCAGAUAAUGUUAGAAUGACCAGGCCAUGGGAAGAGUCAGGUUCAAAACAUACUUAGAAGCCACUGGAGACUUUUAAAUGGGCAUAGGAGGAUCUGAUUUGUAGUUUAGAAUGAUUUCUCUGGCUGCUGCGUGUAGAACAGAUCCUAUGUAAGGGAGCAAAUGUGGAGGCAGAAAAGCUACUGCAGAGGUGAUAACAUUAGCUAAAAGAUCACAGUAUCUGGGGAAAGGGUGGUUGCGGUAGAGAGAGUAAAAAGUAGUUGGUUUCAGAAUACAUUUUAAUGGAAAUGGAAUAGCAGACUGAUGAUUGGAUAAUGGGAAUUGAGGGAAAUCAAGGAAUCCAGAAUGACUUGUAAAUUUUUGUUCUAAGAAAUUGAGUGGAUAAUGAUGGCAUUUACUUAAAUAGCAAAUACUUGUGGAGGUAAAUUCUGGAUAUGUGGGGCAACCAAGGGUUUUGUUGAUGCCAUGUAAACUUUGGCAUGCCAAUUAGAUACGAAGAGAUACUGAGUGGAAAGCUGGAUACUCAGGGGACCACAGUCUUCUGUUUCCUGGAUUUCAGGUCCCUUUUAAACUGAAGCAUAGUGAGAACAAGUGUAAAGCACAACACAGACGGAAGAUUGCACCUUAGCUCACUGCCCCGUGCACCCCGGUUACACCGUCUAAGAAAACACUCUGGAUUCAAUCCUUGGAAAAGUAGGUAGGAAUUUGCUUUUCAUGGAAUUCAAUCUGAAUGGUUUAUAAAAGAAUCAAGUCAGUUAUUCAUGUGGCAGCAUUAUGUGCCCCUAAAUUCUCUGAUUUCCAUUAACUAAUCUCAAGUAAAUAACAAUAGGCAAUGUGUCCAAUAUUUUGAUCUCUCCAAACUAGUAAGAGGCUCAAGAUCAGAAUCAAUUCUUUGCAGAAAUUCCAAUCUCUUCAUCACUAACAUGGUAUUUACUCUCAGUAUGUGCUGAGCUACCACUUCUGGAAGAGUCUUUCCUGGUUAAUUACUUGAAACCUGUUGCAUUGGGAAUUUCUCAGAAAGUCUGCCUUGAUGAGCUUUACUCAAGAGCCGCAACUUCACGGAUCGGACAACAGAAAAGACUUCGGCAGUUACCAAAUCUGAAGUACUCAUUGUGCAUGCUAGCAAUCUGGGACUAAUAAGGUUAAAUUGUCUGAGACCUCAAGGUGGAAGUGACAGGUGGGUCUAGAACUCAAGUUUACCAAUGACAGUCCAGUGUUAUUGUCAUUAUCCUUUAGAAUUGUUCAUUUAUUCAUUCAUCACACACUUAUGAAAGUCCUAUUAUGUAUUAUAUACUAAGCUUGAAGACCAAAACAAAUCAGUAAGAUCCCUAUCUUAAAGACUCUUAGAUCUAGUACAUGACUUAGUAUAGGUGAAGAAUUUUAAUAUAAGACUCAGUAGAUGCUAUAAUAAAAUAAUGAGCAAAACUAUAUAAAAUCCCAGAGAAAGUUGAAACUUAUUCUGUCUUGGAUCUUUGGAAAAUCCUAAAGAAAUUUGCGAACUUUUAUAGGGAGUCUUAUAUAAUGAAGAAACGUUUACUAGGCAGAAAAUGGAGGGAGAGGUAGUUCAGAAAGGGAUAACAACAGAGAAAUUCAAAG